Molecule: RNA transcript, 2612 nt
Organism: Choloepus didactylus (southern two-toed sloth)
Lineage: Eukaryota; Metazoa; Chordata; Mammalia; Pilosa; Megalonychidae
Gene: EBF4
Gene name: EBF family member 4
Exons: 18
Source: RefSeq, a predicted model, not a curated record
CGGCUGGCCUGGCGCUCCCCCUGCCUUUCCCCGGGACGCGCGGCUGCUCCUGCUCCUGCCGCCGCUACCGCCGCUGUCGCCGCCGCCGCCGUCGUCGCCGAGCUCGGCGCCCGCAGCCUCCGCCUCCCGGAUGGACGUUCUGCCCCGCGGCGGGCUGAACUUGAAGGAGGAGCCGCUGCUGCCCACCGGCCUGGGCUCGGUGCGCUCCUGGAUGCAGGGCGCGGGCAUCCUGGACGCCAGCACCGCCGCGCAGAGUGGUGUGGGCCUGGCACGAGCACAUUUUGAGAAGCAGCCCCCUUCCAACCUCAGGAAAUCCAACUUCUUCCACUUCGUGCUGGCCAUGUAUGACCGCCAGGGGCAGCCUGUGGAGGUGGAGCGCACAGCCUUCAUUGACUUCGUGGAAAAGGACAGAGAGCAUGGGGCCGAAAAGACCAACAACGGGAUCCAUUACCGCCUCUGGCUGGUGUAUAAUAACGGACUUAGGACCGAACAGGACCUCUACGUGCGCCUCAUCGACUCCAUGUCUAAGCAGGCCAUCAUCUAUGAGGGGCAGGACAAGAACCCGGAAAUGUGCCGAGUGCUGCUCACCCACGAGAUCAUGUGCAGCCGGUGCUGUGACCGGAAGAGCUGUGGCAACCGGAACGAGACGCCCUCAGACCCGGUCAUUAUUGACAGAACUCCCAGACCCUUGAGCCCACCGACACACUGUUGCAGGUUCUUCCUCAAGUUCUUCCUCAAAUGCAACCAGAACUGCCUAAAGAAUGCGGGGAAUCCCCGGGACAUGCGCCGCUUCCAGGUGGUGGUGUCCACGACGGUGAGCGUGGAUGGACACGUGCUGGCCGUGUCCGACAACAUGUUUGUGCACAACAACUCCAAGCAUGGCCGCAGGGCACGCCGCCUGGACCCCUCCGAAGCUGCCACUCCCUGCAUCAAAGCCAUCAGCCCCGGGGAGGGCUGGACCACGGGCGGCGCCACCGUCAUUGUCAUCGGUGACAAUUUCUUCGACGGGCUACAGGUCGUGUUCGGGAACGUGCUCGUGUGGAGCGAGCUCAUCACGCCGCACGCCAUCCGGGUGCAGACGCCCCCGCGGCACAUCCCCGGGGUGGUGGAGGUGACCCUUUCCUACAAGUCCAAGCAGUUUUGCAAGGGAGCCCCGGGCCGCUUUGUCUACACAGCCCUGAACGAGCCCACCAUUGACUACGGAUUCCAGAGGCUACAGAAAGUCAUUCCCAGACACCCGGGAGACCCGGAGAGGCUGCCCAAGGAAGUGCUGCUGAAGCGGGCGGCCGACUUGGCGGAGGCCCUGUACGGAGUGCCCAGCAGCAACCAGGAGCUCCUCCUGAAGCGAGCGGCGGACGUGGCGGAGGCUCUGUACAGUGCCCCGCGCGCGCCCGCGCCGCUCGGACCCCUGGCCCCCAGCCACCCGCACCCUGCCGUUGUGGGCAUCAACGCCUUCAGCAGCCCGCUGGCCAUCGCCGUCGGGGACGCCACGCCUGGGCCCGAGCCGGGCUACGCCCGCAGCUGCAGCAGCGCGUCGCCCCGCGGGUUCGCGCCCAGCCCUGGCUCGCAGCAGAGCGGCUACAGCGGCGGCCUCGGCGCGGGCCUCGGCGGCUACGGGGCGCCGGGCGUGGCCGGCCUCGGCGUGCCGGGGUCCCCUAGCUUCCUCAAUGGCUCCACGGCCACCUCGCCCUUCGCUAAGGAGCGCCUUUGCCCCCGUGCUGCGCCCACCUGGCUCCCCGCCCCAGGGCUGCCCCAGAGCCCACGGAGAGGGGCUUCCAGACCCGCCUUUUGAGGAUUCUGACAAGUUCCACUCCCCAGCCCGGGGCCUUCAGAGCCUGGCAUACUCCUAAUUACGGUCUGCAGGCGCUGCCCACACUGAGCCUGUACUGGAGGUCUCUCCAGGAUUCACACCCAUGUCCUGGAUGGAGCAUGGGCAGAUGCAGGGCCAGGGCUGCAGGAAGACCUCAGUCCAGGGACCCAGACUGGGAGAGACCUUCCUCCCUGUGCUCAAGGCCCAGCCAGCCCCACAGGCUUCUCUCUCCUCCCUUCCGUGGGCUGUUCGGAAGCCCAGCACUGUGCUGGUACUCUUGGCAGGAGAGCAUCCCCGGGGAGGUGCUGGGGUGCCAGGCCUCACUCGCUGUGCCGGUUCCCCUGGAAGAGAUGUAUCUUGUGCAGACCAGGGACUUUGGGUGAGGGAAGCUUGGGAUGAGGACUGUGGGAAAGAGGGCGGCUCAGGGAGAGGUGGCCGGGAAGGUCCUGUUUGCAUCUGACCCAUCUCAACAGGCCCAGCAUCCCAACUUCUCUCCAGGGCAUGGGGUGGCGCCCAGGCUCCCAUGGAGCUUCCAAAGGCCAUGUGACCCCGUGGCUGCCCCACUCCUUUUGAGAUCUGCACACUCAUGCUUGCCACAUCAUGACUCCUGAUAGGGGCUUUGGGCAUGGUGGGUGCAGAAGAAGGGAGGCCUAGAAUUUGGGGCCUUCCCCUCCAGUGGAUGUCUUGUGGACUCUGGCUGAUUCAAUCUGAUUGGCCCCACAUAUAGGGGCCAGCUGCCCUCCAGUGGCCUCAUACUCUGCUCUGCUCUGCUGAGUUUGGAGAAAAGAGAACAAUAAACAGA